Molecule: microRNA precursor, 57 nt
Filed under: Ascaris suum (pig roundworm)
Lineage: Eukaryota; Metazoa; Nematoda; Chromadorea; Rhabditida; Ascarididae
Description: Asu-Mir-5350-P5_pre stem-loop
Source: RNAcentral
CAGGUUUUACUAAUGACCAAAUUGUUUCAAGCGAAUUUGGCACAUGUAAUACCUGCC